GACGGUAAUAACGGGCCACGUGUUCCCGUGUUUGCACAAAAUGUUAGCACACUCUAGGAGCACGGGGUUUGGGUUGUUAAUGAGGCGUGAUGGGUCUAGGAAACAUUCACGAUAUUCCAGACCCCUCCUGGCGAAGGUCUGGAGGCGUUUCCGCAUUCCCUUUUCAGCGGGAAGACGGGAGACGUGACAAUUCAGGGUCUGACGGUCAAGUGAUUCCGCUGCCACCCAGACACCGUCAUUGACGUGCCGCGAUCAUGCUGAUGAUGGAUCUUUCCAAUUUUGUCAGCGUCUCCCGUGUCAUUAUUCCUUCAGCCGGAUGCAGUCAGUCGACCCCUGGUAACUGAAGCCACGGAAAGUGAAACCAGACAUAAGAAAGGCUGGCUGUUCCAGGUUCCUGCCAGUUCUGACGUUCAGCGCCUUAAUUCCACACUGACCCUACUAGAAAUGAACUGAAUUCCGAUGCAGUCGAGGAAUAACUACGUUGAUAUCUUGCGUUGACAUCUGACCGUUUCCUGCAAACAACUCCUGGGACUAAAUUUGUCUUCCUUUAGUUGAGGACUAAUAACCACGGGGUUGCCGAAGGGCUGCGUGUUCUCCCGGGAGCAGCCGGCGAGGGGCAGCCCGCGGCCUCCUUGCUGUGGGCCUCCUACUCCUCGGAGGCAGACGCCAGCAGAGAAGCGCUCGCUGCGCGGGACGCUCUUCAUCAAAGGGUUCACAGAGAUGGGGAAGUCGACCUGCUUGGAGAGAAGAGGGGAAAUAAGCGGACUGGCAGAGAAAAGGUUGGAGAAGUUCCACGAGGUUAUGGCAAUAGUUUCUCCUCCUUUCUUGCUUCGCCUUAAGACAAGAGCCUUGGGGAUGUGGCAUCUUCACUGCUGCGCCUCUUCGGUGCCCAGAUUCCCAGAGCUCCCAUGUAGAAGGGCUACUCUUUCUACUUCUGCCACUGGGAUGGGGGAAAGAAGAAGGGAUAAGACAAUCCA
Canis lupus familiaris (dog) is the source of this 977-nucleotide long non-coding RNA. RefSeq lists it as uncharacterized. NCBI's taxonomy places the organism in Eukaryota, Metazoa, Chordata, Mammalia, Carnivora, Canidae. The record is from RefSeq and is a predicted model, not a curated record. The transcript is spliced from 3 exons.